GGAAACUGGAAAACUUGAGUGCAGAAGAGGAAAGUGGAAUUGCAUGUGUAGCGGUGAAAUGCGCAGAGAUAUGGAGGAACACCAGUGGCGAAGGCGACUUUCUGGUCUGUAACUGACGCUGAUGUGCGAAAGCGUGGGGAUCAAACAGGAUUAGAUACCCUGGUAGUCCACGCCGUAAACGAUGAGUGAUAAGUGUUAGGGGGUUUCCGCCCCUUAGUGCUGCAGCUAACGCAUUAAGCACUCCGCCUGGGGAGUACGACCGCAAGGUUGAAACUCAAAGGAAUUGACGGGGACCCGCACAAGCGGUGGAGCAUGUGGUUUAAUUUGAAGCAACGCGAAGAACCUUACCAAAUCUUGACAUCCUCUGACCCCUCUAGAGAUAGAGUUUUCCCCUUCGGGGGACAGAGUGACAGGUGGUGCAUGGUUGUCGUCAGCUCGUGUCGUGAGAUGUUGGGUUAAGUCCCGCAACGAGCGCAACCCUUAAGCUUAGUUGCCAUCAUUAAGUUGGGCACUGUAAGUUGACUGCCGGUGACAAACCGGAGGAAGGUGGGGAUGACGUCAAAUCAUCAUGCCCCUUAUGAUUUGGGCUACACACGUGCUACAAUGGACAAUACAAAGGGUAGCGAAACCGCGAGGUCAAGCAAAUCCCAUAAAGUUGUUCUCAGUUCGGAUUGUAGUCUGCAACUCGACUACAUGAAGCUGGAAUCGCUAGUAAUCGUAGAUCAGCAUGCUACGGUGAAUACGUUCCCGGGUCUUGUACACACCGCCCGUCACACCACGAGAGUUUGUAACACCCGAAGCCGGUGGAGUAACCUUUGGAGCUAGC
RNAcentral lists this ribosomal RNA (826 nucleotides) under Staphylococcus capitis. RNAcentral describes it as "bacterial SSU rRNA". It matches the Rfam family "Bacterial small subunit ribosomal RNA", at positions 628 to 1453 of the family's 1533-position model. Lineage: Bacteria; Bacillati; Bacillota; Bacilli; Caryophanales; Staphylococcaceae. The record is from RNAcentral.